Molecule: long non-coding RNA, 3184 nt
Organism: Felis catus (domestic cat)
Lineage: Eukaryota; Metazoa; Chordata; Mammalia; Carnivora; Felidae
Exons: 4
Source: RefSeq, a predicted model, not a curated record
UGUUUACUUUUAGAAGGCAAGCUGUAAAUAUUAGUGGUAAUUGUGUGCUGAGUGGAACCACAUUCCUACCUCUACCUUGGAAAGAUUAUACUAAUCCAGAGGCCAGAAAUCUGCUGAACUUUAACCAAUUCUUGAAGUUUUGAAGGUCCCCAGCCCUAUGGCCCCAUACCAGGGCCUCAGUACGGCAUCAAUGAAGAAAUGAAUGGGUUCGGCUACUUUACAAAAUAAUUAUGAUUCAUCCCUGGAUGACCUGAUAUUUGUCAAAGCUUCAGACUGGAAGACACUCCAACCUUAUAUUCUCCUGCCCCCACCCGAACUCCACCUCCCCAACUCUCCGAGCUAGAUCCAUCUGCCUCAAAGCAAGACACCAACGCCAAGCCUGCUGACAGCUGACCUUCCCAUCUCAGUGCUGUAACCCAGAUUCCUUCCUCCCUCCCCCUACUGCCCUGGCUCUGACUUAACCCUGUAGACUCCAGCGGGACUUAAUGUACGUUUCUCUUUGACCAUCUCACUCUGUGUAUUAGUACCUUAUGGUGAAGCCUGAUUCUUCUAGCAUACCUGAAGUAUGUGUCUUUUUCUUAAUCCUCAUAUUUAAACAGUUCUUUUCAGCUGAGAUCAAAUAUUUUUGAGAAUGAGCUGGUCUCUAGUGACUAGAGUGACCAUAUAAUUCAUCAUUCAAUUCUGAACACUACUGAAAGUGAAAGCAGGCACUAAAUGGAUAUAAGAUUCAAGUAGGAUGUGCAGUCACUUUACUCAUGAGCAAGCAAUAGUCUCCUGCAGAGGUCCUGGAAUCAUGUCAUUUGAACCUGCCAUUGGGGAGAGAGGUCAGUCAGAGUGGAGUAGAGUAAGAAAAGUGGAGAGGUGGGAAGAAAAAGAGAAAGAAGAGGGACAGUAGGGGGAGACUGGAGAAGGGCUGAACUCAUUUCAGUGUGACAGAGUGAGAAUCUCUAAAGUACACUAACUGGGCCCUCGUAAAGGAGAAUGAAUAAGACAAGAGAAUGAGCCAAAGUAUCUAUGGUAAGAUCACCAGAGCUGACCCCACUGUUAAUCCAGCUGGGAAGUCCUUACACCAUGUUGUUUUAUUUCUUCCCACCAUGCAUUAUGGGUUGUGACUGAUCUUAGUAAAGACUCGGCUGAAGCAGCAGAGUAUACAUGUGGCUAGAAUAUAUAGCUAUAUAGUUUUUCACCUCUCCUUUAACUUUGUAUUCCCUCUCCCACUGCCUCAGGGAAGGGAUGACUCCACAUAAAAUAAGUAACACAAAAGGAAUCAGUUAUUAGCUUUUUAGUUUUUAACAUCUUGGCUGGAAUGUGUACAAUGUGGGAGAUGUGGGAGUAGCAAUGAGUAAUAACAAAGAAGUUUUCCCAAUCCAUGCUGCUGCCCCCUGUCCUCCGGGCUAAAGUGCUCCACACUCCCUUCCACCAACUGGGAAAACAGAGGAAGACUGGAGAAGAGCAGAGAGCUUAGGUGUGUUGACAAGUCCUUGAUGAAAAAGGUCUGCACCUUUUUCUAGAUGAAAAAGAUCAUUUCCUGGGGUGAACCAAUGAGAAUGUUCCAUGACAGAAACUCCAGAUGGAUCUGGGAAUGGGAUUCCAGAGGAAACCUAUGUUUUCUUUUCCAGGUAGACUCUAAGAAGGAGGCAAGACCCCUGAAGUCUGGCUGUCCACUCCGUCUUGGCAGAUGAAUUUGAAAAGGCCUCAGAGUAAACCUGUAAAUAACUCAAGGUGCCAGCUGUCACAGAGGUAUCUGCUACCAGAAGAGAGGCUGGCAAAUCUGGCAGGAGCCUGGGAACGGAGGCUGCAGAGGCUGCGAGCCUUCAUGCUGUCUCCUUGAUGAAUACCACAGACCCUAUUUUCUGUAGGGUGAUUGCUUUAUUGACUAUUAUCAAUUCUCUACAUUUUAGGAGGAUGAAAUUUGAUUUUAUGCGCUUGAAGCAUAGGUUUUAAUCAUGUAAUAGCACAACUCUAAAGAGGAAACACAAUUAUCACAGAGUUCACUUCUAUCAAGGCCUUUAGGAAUGUUCUCACUCAAAAAGGGAAGGUAUUCCUUUCAUGCUUUCAAAGGCUUCAUAUAGCCCUAAGAGGUACCUUCCAAAUGGACUUUUCAAGACAGCUCUUGUCUUCUCUAUAAGGAAAAUCCCUUUAUUAUGAAACUCCUUCAACAUUGAGUGUAGAUCUGACCAGUAUUCAUCUUAAGAACAGACUUAAUCUGUGGGCUCAGAAAUUGUGUAUGUAUGUGUGUGUGUGUGUGUGUGUGUGUGUUUUAUGCUCUUACUGUCGUGCUUUCAAACACUUGUACUGCCUCACACAUCAGGCUGGAAUGAUUUGUCGGGGAGUAAAAUAAUUUCAACUGAAAAAUUGUAUGACUUCGAAGACAUUUACAUAUACUGGCACUUUUUUUCAUUUAUCCAACAUCUCAGAGUGAAUUACAAAUAGUUCCUACAACCAACUGAGUUCUGAGUUGAGCAUCUCUCCUAUGUGAGUGGAACUGUGUUAAGCACUGGGAAGAGAUAAAGACGACUAAGGCCAUUCCUGUCAGCAAACAGUAAUUAAGUUGGUGAAACCAGCAUUCAAACAGAGCACCAGCAUACAUAGCAGAAUGAAAUGCAUGUAGAGGGAAGUUACAAACCAAUCUGGGCCAGGGAUACACAGAGAAAGAAGGAUCAAUUCUGGGAGGGGGGUCAGGAAGGACUUUCUGGAGAAGGAGGCCUUGAGAGGUAAGGAGGAUUUAAGUUGGCAGAGAACAGGAGAAAGACCCUCCAGCAUGGGGGAAUAGCAGAGAGAAGUCCCUAAUGUAGACUUUUAUACCUUUGUUUCAUUGACUCAACUUCCUGCUUCUAGAAAGUUCUAUUUUUAAAUCUUCCUGUUUACCUCCCCCAGACACGUUUUUAAACAUAUUUCACUUCUACUCAAAACCUGUGCAUAGUGUCCCAUGUCCCAUUGCUGGCUGCAUGAAUUCCAAACUUUUCUUUGGACAUUCAAGGCUUUUCUCAUCCUGAUCCCAGCCUCUCUCCUUGGUCACUAACUGACCUCCUGCAUCAGAUGUCACGAGGUGAAAGACUAUGGGCCAAAUGUGCCCCCACAGUGUUCUUCAGAUGUUUGAAUUCAUUUUCUAUAUUUUAACGCCAAGAUAUGUAUUCUCAGAUAAAAAGAACCAGGGCUCCUUGCAGAAGUGAUUGAUUCCAGA